Molecule: ribosomal RNA, 326 nt
Filed under: uncultured eukaryote
Lineage: Eukaryota
Description: partial 18S ribosomal RNA
Rfam family: Eukaryotic small subunit ribosomal RNA
Source: RNAcentral
CCCUUAGAUGUUCUGGGCCGCACGCGCGCUACACUGAUGCAUUCAACGAGCCUAGCCUUGACCGAGAGGUCCGGGUAAUCUUUGAAACUGCAUCGUGAUGGGGCUAGAUUAUUGCAAUUAUUAAUCUUCAACGAGGAAUGCCUAGUAAGCGUGAUUCAUCAAAUCGCGUUGAUUACGUCCCUGCCCUUUGUACACACCGCCCGUCGCUCCUACCGAUUGAGUGUGUUGGUGAGGAGGUUGGAUUGGCCUCGGAAGGUGGUUCGCCACCGUCCGUAGCUGAGAAGUUCUCCAAACCGCCCCACUUAGAGGAAGGAGAAGUCGUAACA